GUGUUUGGUUUGUUUGGGUUGGUCGGAUCCCUGCUCGCGCAGCGACGGCCCGUCCUUCUUACCUCUUCAGUCCUGGUUCCGGGUUCGUCGCGACCUCGGGCCGAAUCGGUUUUCUGUGUUGCGUGCCCACGUUGAAGGAAUUGUCCCUCGUUCACUCGUCGCGUAUUCCGUCUUGCGCUGCUCGGGCGGCGCGAGGCGGACCGUGUGGUGUCCGUCGUUGUCUCUUCUCGCCUCGCUUGCGAACAGCUAAGGGCGCGAAACGGCCAACGCCGGGCACUCGAAAUCUCGGAUACGGAACCUUAAGCGGACGAAAAGGGGCCUUCGGUCCCGGUUUGCCCAAACUGAGCGUUCUCGCUUCUUACGAACGACUGUCGGCGCCGUCUCGGGAUAUGCCCGUGCGGUGCCGGCGUCGAGGAGGAAUG
Molecule: unclassified non-coding RNA, 422 nt
Filed under: Hydrocotyle callicarpa
Lineage: Eukaryota; Viridiplantae; Streptophyta; Magnoliopsida; Apiales; Araliaceae
Description: partial external transcribed spacer
Source: RNAcentral